UUCGAUGACCUCUGCCUCUGAUUUGGCGGAGAGGUCGUCCUCUUUGGAGAUGCUAAGUUGGCUACCCAGUUUUUCGCAGAUGUUCGAAUUUUUUUGACAUUUUCCCCUCAAUCUCGCUCUUGCUUUCGUUUGGAAGUUGAGCGCUAAAGAUGAUCAGAUCGCCCUGAAUGGUUAAAUAUGUUCUGUGCGAUUUCUAAAGGAUUGUUGGUAGUUGCUCGUUUUUUAACGUGAAAUUAUCUUAUGUA
Long non-coding RNA from Zingiber officinale, 245 nucleotides. RefSeq lists it as uncharacterized. The transcript is spliced from 2 exons. The record is from RefSeq and is a predicted model, not a curated record. NCBI's taxonomy places the organism in Eukaryota, Viridiplantae, Streptophyta, Magnoliopsida, Zingiberales, Zingiberaceae.